Molecule: ribosomal RNA, 878 nt
Filed under: uncultured bacterium
Lineage: Bacteria
Description: bacterial SSU rRNA
Rfam family: Bacterial small subunit ribosomal RNA
Source: RNAcentral
AGAGUUUGAUCAUGGCUCAGGAUGAACGCUGGCGGCGUGCUAACACAUGCAAGUCGAGCGAUUCUCUUCGGAGAAGAGCGGCGGACGGGUGAGUAACGCGUGGGUAACCUGCCCUGUACACACGGAUAACAUACCGAAAGGUAUGCUAAUACGAGAUAAUAUGCUUUUACCGCAUGGUAGAAGUAUCAAAGCUCCGGCGGUACAGGAUGGACCCGCGUCUGAUUAGCUGGUUGGUAAGGUAACGGCUUACCAAGGCGACGAUCAGUAGCCGACCUGAGAGGGUGAUCGGCCACAUUGGAACUGAGACACGGUCCAAACUCCUACGGGAGGCAGCAGUGGGGAAUAUUGCACAGUGGGCGAAAGCUUGAUGCAGCAACGCCGCGUGAGCGAUGAAGGCCUUCGGGUCGUAAAGCUCUGUCCUCAAGGAAGAUAAUGACGGUACUUGAGGAGGAAGCCCCGGCUAACUACGUGCCAGCAGCCGCGGUAAUACGUAGGGGGCUAGCGUUGUCCGGAAUUACUGGGCGUAAAGGGUGCGUAGGUGGUUUCUUAAGUCAGAGGUGAAAGGCUACGGCUCAACCGUAGUAAGCCUUUGAAACUGGGAAACUUGAGUGCAGGAGAGGAGAGUGGAAUUCCUAGUGUAGCGGUGAAAUGCGUAGAUAUUAGGAGGAACACCAGUUGCGAAGGCGGCUCUCUGGACUGUAACUGACACUGAGGCACGAAAGCGUGGGGAGCAAACAGGAUUAGAUACCCUGGUAGUCCACGCCGUAAACGAUGAGUACUAGCUGUCGGAGGUUACCCCCUUCGGUGGCGCAGCUAACGCAUUAAGUACUCCGCCUGGGAAGUACGCUCGCAAGAGUGAAACUCAAAGGAAUUGACGG